UACGUAGGGCGCGAGCGUUGUCCGGAAUUAUUGGGCGUAAAGCGCGCGCAGGCGGUCCUUUAAGUCUGAUGUGAAAGCCCACGGCUCAACCGUGGAGGGUCAUUGGAAACUGGGGGACUUGAGUGCAGAAGAGGAAAGCGGAAUUCCACGUGUAGCGGUGAAAUGCGUAGAGAUGUGGAGGAACACCAGUGGCGAAGGCGGCUUUCUGGUCUGUAACUGACGCUGAGGCGCGAAAGCGUGGGGAGCAAACAGG
RNAcentral lists this ribosomal RNA (253 nucleotides) under uncultured bacterium. Its description in RNAcentral is "partial 16S ribosomal RNA". It matches the Rfam family "Bacterial small subunit ribosomal RNA", at positions 524 to 776 of the family's 1533-position model. The record is from RNAcentral.